GUAUUUUGAUCAUGGCUCAGGGACGAACGCUGGCGGCGUGCCUAAUACAUGCAAGUUGAGCGCUGAAGGUUGGUACUUGUCCGACUGGAUGAGCAGCGAACGGGUGAGUAACGCGUGGGGAAUCUGCCUUUGAGCGGGGGACAACAUUUGGAAACGAAUGCUAAUACCGCAUAACAACUUUAAACACAAGUUUUAAGUUUGAAAGAUGCAAUUGCAUCACUCAAAGAUGAUCCCGCGUUGUAUUAGCUAGUUGGUGAGGUAAAGGCUCACCAAGGCGAUGAUACAUAGCCGACCUGAGAGGGUGAUCGGCCACAUUGGGACUGAGACACGGCCCAAACUCCUACGGGAGGCAGCAGUAGGGAAUCUUCGGCAAUGGACGAAAGUCUGACCGAGCACGCCGCGUGAGUGAAGAAGGUUUUCGGAUCGUWAAACUCUGUUGGUAGAGAAGAACGUUGGUGAGAGUGGAAAGCUCAUCAAGUGACGGUAACUACCCAGAAAGGGACGGCUAACUACGUGCCAGCAGCCGCGGUAAUACGUAGGUCCCGAGCGUUGUCCGGAUUUAUUGGGCGUAAAGCGAGCGCAGGUGGUUUAUUAAGUCUGGUGUAAAAGGCAGUGGCUCAACCAUUGUAUGCAUUGGAAACUGGUAGACUUGAGUGCAGGAGAGGAGAGUGGAAUUCCAUGUGUAGCGGUGAAAUGCGUAGAUAUAUGGAGGAACACCGGUGGCGAAAGCGGCUCUCUGGCCUGUAACUACACUGAGGCUCGAAAGCGUGGGGAGCAAACAGGAUUAGAUACCCUGGUAGUCCACGCCGUAAACAUAAGCUAGAUGUAGGGAGCUAUAAGUUCUCUGUAUCGCAGCUAACGCAAUAAGCAUUCCCUUUU
This 879-nucleotide ribosomal RNA is filed under the name Lactococcus lactis. RNAcentral's name for it is "bacterial SSU rRNA". Lineage: Bacteria; Bacillati; Bacillota; Bacilli; Lactobacillales; Streptococcaceae. The record is from RNAcentral.